GACCCUGUAUCCCAAUCGGCAGAGGAAACUGGCUUAAAAUCAGUUAAGUGUAGGUUCAAAUCCUACCAGGGUCA
RNAcentral lists this transfer RNA (74 nucleotides) under Candidatus Zhuqueibacterota bacterium. RNAcentral's name for it is "candidate division KSB1 bacterium (marine metagenome) tRNA-Leu". It matches the Rfam family "tRNA". From Rfam's summary of the family: Transfer RNA (tRNA) molecules are approximately 80 nucleotides in length. Their secondary structure includes four short double-helical elements and three loops (D, anti-codon, and T loops). Lineage: Bacteria; Pseudomonadati. The record is from RNAcentral.